AGAGUUUGAUCCUGGCUCAGGAUGAACGCUGGCGGCGUGCCUAACACAUGCAAGUCGAGCGAGAAACCAAUUUGAGAAGUUUUCGAACCAAUCUGUUUGGUGGAAAGCGGCGGACGGGUGAGUAACGCGUAGGCAACCUGCCCAUGACAGAGGGAUAGCCUCGGGAAACCGGGAUUAAAACCUCAUAACGCGAGAGAAUCACAUGGUUCACUCGCCAAAGAUUUAUCGGUCAUGGAUGGGCCUGCGUCUGAUUAUGUUAGUUGGUGAGGUAACGGCUCACCAAGACUACGAUCAGUAACCGACCUGAGAGGGUAAUCGGUCACAUUGGAACUGAGACACGGUCCAAACUCCUACGGGAGGCAGCAGUGGGGAAUAUUGCACAAUGGGCGAAAGCCUGAUGCAGCAACGCCGCGUGAGUGAAGACGGUCCUAUGGAUUGUAAAGCUCUGAUCUGAGGGAAGAAACAAAUGACGGUACCUCAGGAGAAAGCCCCGGCUAACUACGUGCCAGCAGCCGCGGUAAUACGUACGGGGCAAGCGUUAUCCGGAUUUAUUGGGCG
This 558-nucleotide ribosomal RNA is filed under the name uncultured bacterium. Its description in RNAcentral is "bacterial SSU rRNA". It matches the Rfam family "Bacterial small subunit ribosomal RNA", at positions 8 to 560 of the family's 1533-position model. The record is from RNAcentral.